Long non-coding RNA from Salmo salar (Atlantic salmon), 1690 nucleotides. RefSeq lists it as uncharacterized. Lineage: Eukaryota; Metazoa; Chordata; Actinopteri; Salmoniformes; Salmonidae. The record is from RefSeq and is a predicted model, not a curated record.
UGUACUGCAGUGUUGGGGAGAAGGAAGGGAAGGAGAGUGAAAGUGAAAGAUAAAGUACAAUUGCACAGAAAACAAACACCAACUGAGUCGAAAACGUGGUAACAAUUUCCAAAUCCAUUUUUCAUCACUUUUAAACAACUAAGAAUCCAGAAUCUCCAACACAGUCAAGUUGUUACUCCUCUGGAUAACCCAUUGUACCUCCACUGCACCUAACUAAACACUUCUCAUCAUUUUGGCUUCUUUGAAGUGGGAUUGAAGUCUUCCUCUGCUCUGAAAACCCCAACUCCAAGCAUGGAAACGAGAACUCAGUCAGACAGUCAUGAUAAGGAUUCAAGUGAUGACAGUAUGGAUUCACCACCUUUUAUGUCUUCAUCUGAUCCUCCGAAUCAAAACCUCAGGUCACUCCAUCAAAACAUCAGCUCAUACAACAGACUCCUUGAUGAGACUAAAAAUGAUCUGAAAACAUUGGCAGAUGAAUUUACAAUGAUAGCUGAAAAGAUCAAAUUGGAGAAAAAUAAAAGAGGGUCUCCUUACAAGAGCAAGGAGGCUAUUGCAGUAUAUACGGCUGGGGGAGUGUGCGCAGUAGUGGGAUUCUUUCUUGCCCCCUUCACAGGGUUUCCUCUGUUGCCGGUGCAGGGGUGGGCAUCACGUUGUCUAUUUUGGCUGCUGUUAUUUUAUACUUUAGAAGAAUUAUUAGUGAUGUCACAAACCAAGAGACCUUGGCGGAUUAUGAGAAAAAGUUAUUGGCCAAGAGUGGACCAAUUGUGGAUCGUCUGUAUUGUAUCGAUGAAGAUAUUAAAGAAUUUGUUAGAAUGUCCUCCAUGUCCCCAGCUGGAGAUGAGCCACAUCAGUUUAAGAGAGCAUCUGAACUGAGUGCUAGAAUUCUUAGUGAAGCAGUAGACUUGAAAAGGGAGUUAUCUGUCUUCUCAGGUAUUGUUAGUGAUAUCUUUGGUGAUGUCAGAGAGAUCGGCAGUGGCCGUGAUAUUGGUUCAGAGUUUAUGACAAGUAUCAAGAAAUCAUCUGAAUUGUGUCAGGAGACUAUAAGCAAAUUUGAAAAGAUGAGAGAAGAACUUGAAAAAAUGUCUGAUUCAUGAGGAACAAAGUACAAAUGAAUAAUUAGUUGAAAUAAACCAGUUAGUUGCAAUAAAUCAUUAUCAUUACCUGGCAUGAUCUUGGGCAUCAUCCAGAUCGCUGAAAACAAUGAUAUUGAAAGAGAGUUCCCUGGGAGAAUAGAGAUUCAGCUAGGCUCAGUCAGAAAACUAUAGAUGACUUUGGAACAACGACAAGAGAAAAACAAUGUUAGAAAUAGAAGAAUAUUCUGAAAUUGGGUUUAGAUUUUGUUUACUCAGCUUAUCUCCCCUCCAUCAUACAGUGUAUUAUGUUACCCUAAGGAUAGUGUAAAUAAUUCAGCAUAUUAAUGUUUUAAAAAAUCUAUUUUGUAAAAUGUACUGUACGUGAUGUUAUAUGAGUAACACAUUGCAAGGUAACAUUUAAUUUUACAUUGUUGUUAAAUGUAUUGAAGUGUAUGAAAAUGUACAGUUAGCUUGAACUAACUUUUGUAAAAUACACAUGACGCUUGAGUGACAAGUGAACUUCAAGUGAACUUUUAAAUGAAUUUAUUUUGAGAAAAUAUAUGUACAGUCAACUUGAACUAAAGAAAAAUAAAAUAAAUACAUAUUUGUUUAACAAA